Molecule: ribosomal RNA, 483 nt
Filed under: uncultured bacterium
Lineage: Bacteria
Description: bacterial SSU rRNA
Rfam family: Bacterial small subunit ribosomal RNA
Source: RNAcentral
AAUGAACGUUGGCGGCGUGGAUUAGGCAUGCAAGUCGAGCGACAAGGCUGGACGGAACCUUCGGGGGAAGACCAGCUGGAGGAGCGGCAAACGGGGUAGUAAAGCGUCGGAACGUACCCACCGGACCGGGAUAGCCGUGGGAAACUGCGGGUAAUACCGGAUGAUCUCUUCGGAGCAAAUGGUCCGCCGCCGGUGGACCGGCCGACGUGGUACUAGCUAGUUGGUGAGGUAACGGCUCACCAAGGCUAAGAUGCCUAGGGGGUGUGAGAGCAUGGCCCCCACCACUGGGACUGAGACACUGCCCAGACACCUACGGGUGGCUGCAGUCGAGAAUCUUCGGCAAUGGGCGCAAGCCUGACCGAGCGACGCCGCGUGCGGGACGAAGGCCCUUGGGUUGUAAACCGCUGUCAGAGGGGAGGAAAGCGCAAGCUUGACCGAGCCUCAGAGGAAGCGCGGGCUAAGUUCGUGCCAGCCGCCGCGGUA